UGUGAACUGCAGGACACAUGAACAUCGACAUUUUGAACGCAUAUUGCGGUCCACGGAUCUAAUUCCCGGACCACACCUGGCUGAGGGUC
RNAcentral lists this ribosomal RNA (89 nucleotides) under Peristenus pseudopallipes. RNAcentral describes it as "partial 5.8S ribosomal RNA". It matches the Rfam family "5.8S ribosomal RNA", at positions 66 to 153 of the family's 154-position model. Rfam says of the family: 5.8S ribosomal RNA (5.8S rRNA) is a component of the large subunit of the eukaryotic ribosome. Lineage: Eukaryota; Metazoa; Arthropoda; Insecta; Hymenoptera; Braconidae. The record is from RNAcentral.